This 301-nucleotide ribosomal RNA is filed under the name uncultured bacterium. RNAcentral describes it as "partial 16S ribosomal RNA". It matches the Rfam family "Bacterial small subunit ribosomal RNA", at positions 509 to 809 of the family's 1533-position model. The record is from RNAcentral.
CAGUAGCCGCGGUAAUACGAAGGGUGCAAGCGUUAAUCGGAAUUACUGGGCGUAAAGCGUGCGUAGGCGGUUUGUUAAGUCUGCUGUGAAAUCCCCGGGCUCAACCUGGGAAUGGCAGUGGAUACUGGCAAGCUAGAGUGUGUCAGAGGAUGGUGGAAUUCCCGGUGUAGCGGUGAAAUGCGUAGAGAUCGGGAGGAACAUCAGUGGCGAAGGCGGCCAUCUGGGACAACACUGACGCUGAGGCACGAAAGCGUGGGGAGCAAACAGGAUUAGAUACCCCGGUAGUCCCUGUCUCUUAUAU